This 253-nucleotide ribosomal RNA is filed under the name uncultured bacterium. RNAcentral's name for it is "partial 16S ribosomal RNA". It matches the Rfam family "Bacterial small subunit ribosomal RNA", at positions 524 to 776 of the family's 1533-position model. The record is from RNAcentral.
GACAGAGGGUGCAAACGUUGUUCGGAAUUACUGGGCGUAAAGCGUGUGUAGGCGGUCUUCUAAGUCGGGUGUGAAAUCCCUGGGCUCAACCCAGGAAGUGCACUCGAAACUGGAGGGCUAGAGUAUCGGAGAGGUUGGUGGAAUUCCACGUGUAGCGGUGAAAUGCGCAGAUAUCAGGAGGAACACCGGUGGCGAAGGCGGAUCUCUGGGCCGUAACUGACGCUGAGGAGCGAAAGCAUGGGGAGCGAACAGG